Molecule: long non-coding RNA, 481 nt
Organism: Drosophila kikkawai
Lineage: Eukaryota; Metazoa; Arthropoda; Insecta; Diptera; Drosophilidae
Source: RefSeq, a predicted model, not a curated record
UCUGGUUCUGUCGAUCAAGUGAAACAAAUCACUUAGAAACCCUUCAGAUUUUCAGCACUGGACUUAUAGUUCGGCACCUUGAUCCAUUGACUUAGUUCUUAAUCAGGGCAGAACAGCAAUGAAGCUAUAUUUUUUGUGGAUUUUCAUUUACUUUGCAGUUUCACGUAACCCUACGUUUGCUAAUACUACGUGGCAACCAGCUUUCGAUAUAACAACUGGAAAUACAAAGAGCUGGACCAUGUUAACAAUCGAAAGUCCCUACCUGGUGACCCCUAAACCUAAACCUACACAACCGCCAUGCGGUUUAUUUCGACCAGUUUCGUGUUUGAUCAAUUUGAUAACAGGGGAAUGACUGAGUAGAAGUGACAACUAAAGUAUUUGGAUAAUUGAUGAAAAUUUCAAGUCAAUAUAUUUAAUAAAUAACAAUAAUUUUUGGUUGUGUAAAAGUACCAGUAAUAGUUCCCUAAAAAAUUUAAAAAUA